UACGUAGGGACCAAGCGUUGUCCGGAAUCAUUGGGCGUAAAGAGCGUGUAGGCGGCUUGUUAAGUCUUGCGUGAAAUCUCGGGGCUCAACCCCGAGCGGUCGUGAGAAACUGGCAGGCUAGAGUGCGGGAGAGGAGAGUGGAAUUCCCGGUGUAGCGGUGAAAUGCGCAGAUAUCGGGAAGAACACCCGUGGCGAAGGCGGCUCUCUGGAACGCAACUGACGCUGAGACGCGAAAGCGUGGGGAGCAAACAGG
This 253-nucleotide ribosomal RNA is filed under the name uncultured bacterium. RNAcentral describes it as "partial 16S ribosomal RNA". It matches the Rfam family "Bacterial small subunit ribosomal RNA", at positions 524 to 776 of the family's 1533-position model. The record is from RNAcentral.